AGGAUGAUCAGCCACACUGGAACUGAGAUACGGUCCAGACUCCUACGGGAGGCAGCAGUGGGGAAUAUUGGACAAUGGGCGAAAGCCUGAUCCAGCCAUGCCGCAUGAGUGAAGAAGGCCUUUGGGUUGUAAAGCUCUUUUAGUGAGGAAGAUAAUGACGGUACUCACAGAAGAAGUCCUGGCUAACUCCGUGCCAGCAGCCGCGGUAAUACGGAGAGGGCUAGCGUUAUUCGGAAUUAUUGGGCGUAAAGGGCGCGUAGGCUGAUUAAUAAGUUAAAAGUGAAAUCCCGAGGCUUAACCUUGGAAUUGCUUUUAAAACUAUUAAUCUAGAGAUUGAAAGAGGAUAGAGGAAUUCCUGAUGUAGAGGUAAAAUUCGUAAAUAUUAGGAGGAACACCAGUGGCGAAGGCGUCUAUCUGGUUCAAAUCUGACGCUGAAGCGCGAAGGCGUGGGGAGCAAACAGGAUUAGAUACCCUGGUAGUCCACGCUGUAAACGAUGAAUGUUAAAUAUGGGAAGUUUACUU
This 522-nucleotide ribosomal RNA is filed under the name uncultured Wolbachia sp. RNAcentral describes it as "bacterial SSU rRNA". It matches the Rfam family "Bacterial small subunit ribosomal RNA", at positions 297 to 839 of the family's 1533-position model. The record is from RNAcentral. Lineage: Bacteria; Pseudomonadati; Pseudomonadota; Alphaproteobacteria; Rickettsiales; Anaplasmataceae.